RNAcentral lists this ribosomal RNA (253 nucleotides) under uncultured bacterium. RNAcentral describes it as "partial 16S ribosomal RNA". It matches the Rfam family "Bacterial small subunit ribosomal RNA", at positions 524 to 776 of the family's 1533-position model. The record is from RNAcentral.
UACGGAGGAUGCAAGCGUUAUCCGGAAUGAUUGGGCGUAAAGCGUCCGCAGGUGGCAAUGUAAGUCUGCUGUCAAAGCGUCCGGCUCAACCAGAUAAAGGCAGUGGAAACUACAUAGCUAGAGUAAGGUAGGGGUAGAGGGAAUUCCUGGUGUAGCGGUGAAAUGCGUAGAGAUCAGGAAGAACACCGGUGGCGAAAGCGCUCUGCUGGACCUUAACUGACACUGAGGGACGAAAGCUAGGGGAGCGAAUGGG